Molecule: ribosomal RNA, 2308 nt
Filed under: human gut metagenome
Description: bacterial LSU rRNA
Rfam family: Bacterial large subunit ribosomal RNA
Source: RNAcentral
AUAAGAUAUCAAGGGCAACAGGUGAAUGCCUUGGCGCUGAGAGGCGAUGAAAGACGCGGUAAGCUGCGAUAAGCAUCGGGGAGGAGCUAAACAUCCUACGAUCCGAUGAUUUCUGAAUGGGGAAACCCGAUGGGAGUCAUGUCCCAUCAUCCUGAGCUGAAUAUAUAGGCCCAGAGAAGCCAACCCGGGGAAGUGAAACAUCUCAGUACCCGGAGGAAGAGAAAUCAAACGAGACUCCCAAAGUAGCGGCGAGCGAAAUGGGAAGAGCCCAAACCGAGUGGUUUCGACCAUUCGGGGUUGUAGGGCCGGCAUACGCGAUUCUGGAGUAGGCAGAGGAAGUGAGCUGGAAAGCUCCGCCACAGCGGGUGAUAGCCCCGUACUCGAAACCGAAAAGGACGCAGCCGGUACCUGAGUACUGCGAGGCACGUGGAACCUCGUGGGAAUCUAGGGGGACCAUCCUCUAAGGCUAAGUACUCCUCAGCGACCGAUAGUGAACUAGUACCGUGAGGGAAAGGUGAAAAGAACCCCUGUUAGGGGAGUGAAAUAGAAUCUGAAACCUGUUGCCUACAAGCUGCGAGAGCUACUUCGGUAGUGAUCGCGUGCCUUUUGUAUAAUGAGUCAGCGAGUUACUCUACCGUGCGAGGUUAAGCGAAAGCGUAGCCGUAGUGAAAGCGAGGCUUAAUAGGCCGACUAGUACGUUGGAGUAGACCCGAAACCGGGUGAUCUAUCCAUGAGCAGGUUGAAGCAAGGGUAAAGCCUUGUGGAGGACCGAACCGUCAACGGCUGAAAACGUUCCGGAUGACUUGUGGAUAGGGGUGAAAGGUCAAUCAAACCCGGUGAUAGCUGGUUCUCCCCGAAAUAUAUUGAGGUAUAGCCUCGGGAAUUGAUUAGCGGAGGUAAAGCACUGACAGAGCUAGGGGUCCUACCAGAUUACCAAACUCUAUCAAACUCAGAAUGCCGCUUAAUUGUAUCCCGGGAGUCAGACGGCGGGUGCGAAGGUUCGUCGUCAAAAGGGAAACAGCCCAGACCAACAGCUAAGGUCUCCAAAUCCAUGCUCAGUGGUGAAGGUAGUGGAACCGUUUAGACAGCCAGGACGUUGGCUUAGAAGCAGCCAUCGUUUAAAGAAAGCGUAAUAGCUCACUGGUCUAAUGGCUCUGCGCCGAAAAUGUAACGGGGCUAAGCAUGGUACCGAAGCUUUGGCAAUCUCCUUUGGAGAUUGGGUAGGGGAGCGUUCGCUGCGGGCUGAAGGUGUGUCGGAAGGCAUGCUGGACUGCAGUGAAGUGAUUAUGCUGACAUGAGUAACGAUAAAAUAUGUGAAAAACAUAUUCGCCGAAAACCCGAGGUUUCCUGGGUAAAGGUAAUCUUCCCAGGGUUAGUCGGAUCCUAAGGUGAGGGUGAAAGCCGUAACCGAUGGAAAACAGGUUAAUAUUCCUGUACUUGUUGUGUAGCGCGAUGGAGGGACGCAGGAAGAUAGGCGGGCCGGGUGUUGGAUAUCCCGGUGCAAGCGUGUAGGAAUAUCCGGUAGGCAAAUCCGCCGGACGAAUCUGAGACGCGAGUCCGUGGGCGCAAGCCCUGAAGCCGUUGAGUCUAUGCUGCCUAGAAAAGCUCCUAAGUUUAUCCACAGCAAUCCGUACCGCAAACCAACUCAGGUGGGUGGGAUGAACAAUCCAAGGCGCUCGAGAGAACUCUGGCCAAGGAACUCGGCAAAAUAACCCCGUAACUUCGGAAGAAGGGGUGCUCUCUAGGGUGACAUGUUUAACAUAUGAAGCCCCGGGGAGCCGCAGUGAAUUGGUGGUGGCGACUGUUUACUAAAAACAUAGGUCUGUGCGAAGUCCUAAAGACGACGUAUACGGACUGACGCCUGCCCGGUGCUGGAAGGUUAAAAGGAGGGGUCAGCGCAAGCAAAGCUCCGAAUUGAAGCCCCAGUAAACGGCGGCCGUAACUAUAACGGUCCUAAGGGAGCGAAAUUCCUUGUCGGGUAAGUUCCGACCUGCACGAAUGGCGUAACGAUCUCCACACUGUCUCGGCCAGAGACUCGGUGAAAUUGCAGUCGCGGUGAAAAUUCCGUGUACCCGCAGAAAGACGGAAAGACCCUGUGCACCUUUACUAUAGCUUGACAUUGGAUUUUGGGCCUGCAUGUGUAGGAUAGGUGGGAGGCUGUGAACCCUGUACGCCAGUAUGGGGGGAGCCAUCCUUGAAAUACCACCCUUGCAUGUUUAAGAUCCUAACUUCUUCCGGUUAUCCCGGAGAAAGACAGUGUCUGGCGGGUAGUUUGACUGGGGCGGUCGCCUCCUAAAGUGUAACGGAG